RNAcentral lists this small RNA (881 nucleotides) under Pongo abelii (Sumatran orangutan). RNAcentral's name for it is "processed transcript". The record is from RNAcentral. Lineage: Eukaryota; Metazoa; Chordata; Mammalia; Primates; Hominidae.
AGAGCCUCCAGGAAGGAAUGCAGUCUGCUAACACCUUCCUGUUGUUCCAGGGAGACCCAUACAGACAUAUGGCCUGCAGAAUUGUCCUAAACUGACUCUGGGGACUAAAGAAAAAAAGUAUAACUUAUCAUGGAAGUUGCUUAAGUGCAAAAUUAAUUAGGUCAGGGGAGGAUUGGAUAUGGAGAUUAAACUGUCAUGCUUGGAUCUGGAUGAAGAAAAAGAGGGGACUGUGUUGUUAGGUGGAGGAUGGCCUGCAUUCCUGCCUUGUUCCAACGCUUGCUAGCAAGCUGACUUCGGGAAGAUUAGGUAACUCAUCUCAGUUUCCUCAUCUGUAAUGCAAAGACACAGCAUCAUCUCUACCCAUAAAAGGUGGCAUUCUGCAAGACUGAGAAGAUGCCCACCUCCAUUCCCAGAGUCCAGGCCUUCAUUAACUCACACGUGAACUACAGAAGCAUCAUCCCUAGUUCUCCUAUUAGUCACUCCUCCUCACCUGCCUCUAAUUCAUCCAUCCAUCCAGCGUGGGUCAUGUAAAGUUACAGCUGAGAAGGUACUCCCUCUCUUAAACUCAUCAGGGCUCCAUGUGGCUUCAAGAUUGAAAAUAAAAUUUCUGUGUAUGGUAUAUAAACUUAAGCUCUUAACAGUGUGCCCACUCCCUGUGCUCCAGUCAUGGAAAAUUAUUUGCAGUUCUUUGAGCAUGCUCCGGUCUCUCUUUCAUGUUUUAUAUAAGCUGUCCUCUUUUAUUGGAACAUACUUCCUUCCCAUCCUACCCCCAACACCCAACUUGUCUACCUGAGGAGCACUUAGUCAUUGUUAAAGACCCAGUCCAAGAUUUUCCUCCUUGGAAACACUUCCCUGACCUACUUUGUCUGGGGUUUGUGCCC